AUGGCCAAUGACCCACCCAUCCUAGCCCUCCCCGAAGACCGUGCGGCAUCCCAUCCGAAGCGCAGUGUCGCCCUGAGCAUUUUGGUAGCCGGGGCCUCGCCAGAGCUCCUGAUGGGCCUCUCCGGUGUGGCACUCCACAGCAAGCACCCCGGUGGUCCCAGCUCCAUCGGAGGUGGUCGAAGUCGCUGGGGCCAGCGCCAGCUACGCCACGGCCUCGCCUUUCCUCCGUCCCGCGAGCAGACGACUGGAGGUAGAAGAAGGAGCGAGAGGAGAGAGAAUGGAUAA
RNAcentral lists this ribosomal RNA (285 nucleotides) under Triticum aestivum (bread wheat). RNAcentral's name for it is "partial small subunit ribosomal RNA". Lineage: Eukaryota; Viridiplantae; Streptophyta; Magnoliopsida; Poales; Poaceae. The record is from RNAcentral.